CUUUUCAGAGAAGGUCUCGAAUCCUGAAGACAGACUUCGAGGGGAUGAUGCAGCAAGAAGACCCACACCAGAUGAGGGCGCCUUGAUAUUGGAUUUCCCAGCCUCCAGAACUAAGCCUGGGACUUGCCUCUGUGAUCUGGUGCUUUGGAGGGCCUUGGGCCUCAGGGCUAGCAAGGUCCCUUUCUGGAGAUUCCAGUUCCUCUGCCCGCCCUCCUUUACCUCUUUCUCCUCACACAUCUGUCUGAGGGAUGGGGAUGAGGGCUGCCAACCAAUGUUACCACUUGACAGACCACAAGAGGGCUGGUUCCAGUGCCUCCCUUGUUCAGCUGCUGACACUGCAGCUUGGCAGUCAUUGAAGGCAAUAUUUAGCUCCUACAUCUGACCUGAUUGGAAGAUCAGGCUUCUGUCGUCCUGGUUUCCUGGCCUUGGAUAGUUCUUCACUAACUUUUAUUCAUUAAGGCAGUGGGCAGAAAGCAGCAGAACCCUGUUUUUUCUUUUUUUGGGGUUUUUGUUGUUGUUGUUGUUGUUGUUUUGUUUUUUUUUGAAACAGGGUCUCCCUCUGUCACCCAUGCUGGAGUGCAGAGGUUCUGUCAUAACUCACUAUAGCCUCGACCUCCUGGGCUCAAGCAAUCUUCCCACCUCAGCCUCCUGAGUAGCUAGGGACCACAGGUGCAUGCCACUAUGCCUAACUAAUUUUUGUAUUUUUUUGUAGAGAUGGGGUUUUGCCAUGUUGCCCAUGCUGGUUUUGAACUCUAGAACUCAAGCAAUCAGCUGGCCUCAGCCUCCCAAAGUACUGAGAUUACAGGUGUGAGCCACUGUGCCUGGCCAGAACCUGUUUUUUGUUUGUUUGUUUUUGUUUUGUUUGUUUGAGGCGGAGUUUUGCUCUUGUUGCCCAGGCUGGAAUGCAAUGGCGCGAUCUCGGCUCACCGCAACCUCUGCCUCCUGGAUUCAAACAAUUCUCCUGCCUCAGCCUCCCAACCAGCUGGGAUUACAGGCAUGCGCCACCACGCCCAGCUAAUUUUGUAUUUUUAGUAGAGAUGGGAUUUCACCAUGUAGGUCAGGCUGGUCUCGAACUCCCAACCUCAGGUGAUCUGCCCGCCUCGGCCUCCCCAAGUGCUGGGAUUACAGACGUGAGCCACCGCGCCCAGCCCAGAACCUGUUUUUUAAUUUAAAAUUCUUAUUUAAAAGUUCUGUACAUUUUGAGAAUUCUUAAAACCUUCACACAUUUAAUUUAAAUAGCAGCAGAGAUAUCUGGUUCCUGGUAAUGUGAACAGGAUGGCUUGAUACAAGCUCCCUGCUCACUGCAUUUCCUCACUUCCUAAAUUCCUAGGGAUGUACCUCCAGUGAAUAAUAGUUUUUACCACCUGUACAUAUACAGGGUCAGCGGCCAUGGCUCCUUGCUCACCCAUUAACUAAGAUCACAUCCUACAUACAGUACCAGACUUAGAGCCAGAGCCCUGGUCAUGGCCUCCUAGGUUCUCACACUUGACUUUUACUCAAUCAUUUCACCAUUUAGGCUUUAUAAAAAGGGGAGACUGGCCGGGCGCGGCGGCUCAUGCCUGUAAUCCCAGCACUUUGAGAGGCUGAGGGAGGUGGAUGACCUGAGGUCAGGAGUUUGAGACCACCCAACAUGGUGAAACCCUGUCUCUACUAAAAAUACAAAAAUUAGCCAGGUAUAGUGGCACAUGCCUGUAGUCCCAGCUACUCUGAGGCAGCUGAGGCAGGAGAAUCGCUUGAACCUGGGAGGCGGAGGUUGCAGUGAGCCGAGAUCAUGCCACUGUACUCCAGCCUGGGUGACACAGUGAAACUCCAUCUCAAAUAAAUAAAUAAAUAAAAUGGGGGAAUUAUAUGACUGUUAGGGUCCUCCAGAUCUGAUACCCAGGACUGUAAUCUAAAGACUUGAUUAUGUUCAUUAAUACAUGGCAAUUUCAUUCCUUUCCUAAGAAUUACUAUCCAAAGAUCAUCCCUAAGCCCUUCCUACAAGAAACUGCCCCUUUUACAGAAUGAAUAAAGUUGUCCUAGAUUCCCGUUUUUUCCUCACUUUUUCUCAUAUCUCUAAGUGACAGUAUCCGGAGACAGCUCAGAAAGCUGGAUUUUUAGCUUUUCGUCAUAGGGCUUGUAUAUGUACAUGCAUGCAUGCACAAAUGUAUGUAUAUGUUCAUUCUUAAAGGGAUAUGGGCCAUGGGCACCUUCACUCUGUGGCCCCCCACCUCCCACCAGCCCUACUUGAAUUUUAGUAAAUAGUAAUUAAAUGCCAGGACCAGGCACAGUGGCUCACACCUGUAACCCCAGCAUUUUUGGAGGCUGAGGUGGGUGGAUCACCUGAGGUCAGGAGUUCGAGACCAGCCUGGCCAACAUGGUGAAACCCUAUCUCUACUAAAAAUACAAAAAUUAGCCGGGUUUGGUGGCACACAACUGUAAUCCCAGCUACUUGGGUGGCUGAGGCAGGAGAAUCACUUGAACCUGAGAGACGGAUGUUGCAGUGAGCCAAGAUCGCACAACUGCACUCCAGCCUAGGCGACAGAGCAAGACUCCAUCUCGAAAGAAAGAGGGAAGGAAGGAAGGGAGGAAGGAAGGAAGGAAGGAAGGAAGGAAGGAAGGAAGGAAAAAGAAGAGAAAAGGAACUCCAUCUCUACUAAAAAUACAAAAAAAUUAGCCAGGCAUGGUGGCGGGCACCUGUAAUCUCAGCUACUUCAGGAGUCUGAGACAGGAGAAUUGCUUGAACCUGGGAGGCCCUUGCAGUGAGCUGAGAUUGUGCCACUGCACUCAGCCUGGGCAACAAGAGUGAAACUCCGCCUCAAUGAUAAAUAAAUAAAUAAAUAAAUAAAUAAAUAAAUAAAUAAAUAAAUGCCAGGAUGCCUAGAAGAACAAAAGAGUAUGUACUAAGAGGCCAGAUAUAUGAGUGCAGCUGUAGUGAUAAGGAGGCCAUUGGGAUAGCCAAUGUCACAUAGGUCUAAAGUUUGGUUUUAGCUAGAGCUUUCUUCUACCCUAAUACUGCCCCCAUGUCCUGACAGCGGGUAUUGCAGCAAAUCCUGGACUGCAGCCAGAAGCUCUGGUCUCUACAUCAGCUUCUCCAUUUGAAACAUCUCAGAAUUUGAAUUUUGACUACUCUGGUGUUAACAUCAAAAUGCAUUUCAUGGGCCGGGCCUGGUGGCUCACGCCUGUAAUGCAGCACUUUGGGAGGCCAAGGCAGGCGGAUCACGAAGUCAGGGGAUCGAGACCAUCCUGGCCAACAUGGUGAAACCCUGUCUCUAUUAAAAAUACAAAAAAUUAGCCGGCGUGGUGGCAGGCACCUGUAGUCCCAGCUAUUCAGGAGGCCUCAGCAGGAGAAUUGCUUGAAGCCAGGAGGUAGAGGUUGCAGUGAGCUGAGAUCGUGCCACUGCACUCCAUCCUGGGCGACAGAGCGAGUUUCCAUCUCAAAAAACCAAAAUCAAACAAACAAAAAAACCCACAAAAAACCAAAAUGCAUUUUAUAGUGUUAAAGAAAACAUAUUUAUGUGGCAAUUUCUACACAUUUUUCUUCUGCAUUACUUCAUUUAAUCCUUCUCUCAAUCCUGAGAGCAAAGGACAGAAAAUGUUGUUCCCACUGUUUUCCACUGUUUGGUUUUGGUUUGUUUCCUUUCUUUUUUUUUCUUUGAGACAGGCUCUUGCUCUGUCACUCAAGCUGGAAUGCAGUGGCAUGAUCAUAGCUCACUGUAGCCUUGACUUCUUGGGCUCAAGUGAUCCCACCUCAGCCUCCCAAGUAGCUGGGACUACAGGCACACACCACCACAUCUGGCUAAUUCUUUUUUAUUUUUAGUAUAGACGAGGUCUCACUAUGUGACCAGGCUGGUCUCCAACUCCUGAGCUGAAGCUAUCCUCCUGCCUCAGCCUCCCAAAGUGCUGGGAGAUCUGGCCCUUGUUUUUUGUUUUUGUUUUUGUUUUUUAUGAGAUGGGUGGCUGUUGCCCAGACUGGAGUCCCGUGACACGAUCACAGCUCACUGCAGCCUCGACCUCCCCAGGCUCAGGUGAUCCUCUCACUUCAGUUUUUUUUGUAUUUUAGUAGAGACAGAGUUUUGCCAUGUUGCCCAGGCUGUUCUCGAAUUCCUGAGCUCAAGGGAUCUGUCUGCCUCAGCCUCCCAAAGUGCUAGGAUUACAGGCAGGAGUGAGCCACUGUGCCUGGCCCCUUGCUGUUUUUUUGUUUUGUUUUGUUUUUGUUUGUUUGUUUUACAGCAAAUAAAAAUGCAGUCUGGAUUUUAAGGGCCACACAGCAGCAAGAACUAAAACCUGGGUCUCCAAGGUCCAAGUCCAGGACUUCUCUAUGACACCCUACUGCAGCCCUUUGCUGGAUACCAUACAAAGCAAAUUGAGCAGAUGUGUUCUCUGCCCUCUGAAAGUUUGGACUCAAAUGGACAGCCACAAUUCUGGCAAACAUAAAAGGACAAAGUGAUUUAGUGUCAACUCACAUACGCAAUAAAUAACUGAGUUAAAUAGAUAAGGAAAGGCAUGUUCACCUGGUCUACUGAUAUUUUUUAAAUUCCAGUUGAGUAGAGAGCAAUGUUAAUAAGACUAAGGUUUUGGGCCAGUCCCAUUUUUGCCUACUUGCUUUGCACCUGGAAAAAUAUUUGUAACUGCAUGCAAACUCUUUCCCCUCCUCGUCUUCAACAAUCUGUAAACUUUCCCUGAGCAGCUACCAAGUGUAACACAAAGUGGGAAUGAAGGACCAUUAAGAAAUCAUCUCUGUGCCAUGCGCGGUGGCUCAAGCCUAUAAUCCCAGCACUUUGGGAGGCCGAGGCGGGUGGAUCACCUGAGCUCGGGAGUUCAAGGCCAGCCUGGCCAAUAUGGUGAAACCCUGUCUCUACUAAAAAUACAAAAAAAAAAAAAAAAAAAAAAUAGCUGGAUAUGAUGGCAUGUACCUGUAGUCCCAGCUACUCAGGAGGCUGAGGCAGAAGAAUCGCUUGAACCCAGGAGGCAGAGGUUGCAGUGAGCUGAGAUUGCUCCAUUGCACUCCAGCCUGAGAAACAAAAGCAAAACUCUAUCCCCACCCCCCCCAAAAAAAAGGAAGGAAAAGAGAAGAAAAAAAGUCAUCUGUGCCCUCGAGCAACAUCUUUAACCAUUCGCCUAAUUCAAACCACUGGGAUGAAAAUGUAUAUCCUGUAUAUACCAUCUCUACUGCUGGGAAAAAAGACACGUCAACUCAAUACCCAUCCUAUUUUUAGACGGCCUGAGAUUCGUCCUUAUCCAUGCAGGGCAGUCGGGUAGGACAAUGAAGAGGUGGACUUCUGAAUUUGAGAGAAAUUGGUCUUAUCCCAGAGAAGUGAGGCCACCACCCACCUGCAAUAGCUUGGCUUCCUGGAUCCCUAAGCAAAGACAGAGUCUUGCUCUGUCACUCGGGCUGGAGUACAGUGACACAAUCACGGUUCACUGCAGCCUGGACCUCCCAGGCUCAAGUGAUCCCCCUGCUGCAGCCUCCUGAGUAGCUGGGACUACAGGCCUGUGCCACCAUGUCCAGGUAAUUUUUAAAUUUUCUUUUCUCUCUCUCUCUCUCUCUUCUUUUUUCUUUCUGAGACAGAGUCUUGCUCUGUCACCCAGGCUGGAGUACAGUGUUGUGAUCUUGGCUCACUGCAACCUCCGUCUCCCGGAUUCAAGCAAUUCUUCUGACUCAGCCUGCCGAGUAGCUGGGACUACAGGCGUGCACCAUGGUGACCAGCUAAUUUUCGUAUUUUUUUUUAGUAGAGUCGGGGUUUCACAUGUUGGCCAGGCUGGUCUUGAACUCCUGACCUCAAGUGAAUUUUUAAAUUUUCUGUAGGAAUGGCAGUCUCACUAUGUUCCCCAGGCUGUCUUGAACUCCUGGGCUCAAGCAAUUCUCCCACCUCGGCUUCCCAAAUUAUUGGGAUUACAGGCAUGAGCCACUGCACCUGGGCAACACCUUGUUUUAAACAACAACAACAACAACAAAACCUCAAUGUACUUAAACAGAAUGGGUCUCCUGGUGGUCCUUAGGUCAUGGGGUGGGGUCAUGAUGCUGUCCAUUAAUGAAAGGGCAGGUGAAAUCUAGAGCAGGAGCUAAGCCUAUCUGAAUCUCAGAGCUGGGCAGCAGAAGAAUCUAUGUCAUGAAAUAAGAGGGACCAGUCCCCACUCUUCUGACCUUAGGCCCCUCCCCUAUUCCUUUAGAAUCAUAGCCUUUCUUCUCUUACCUGUAUUACUACAAAGUCAUCUGUAAGAAGGUACUGGAACUUUCAGGGCUUGAAUAACAAUCUGCCUUAUAGGUUGCAUUAGAGAACAUACAGUAAAGUAUUAUUUGGUGAAGUUAGGGAAUGGAGUGUUCUCGUUAAUCAAAUAAUCUGGUUAACAAAGUAGCACUCAACGUAUAGUAAUAUUUGGGAUAUACUUAUACAGGUUGAGUAUCCCUGACAAAAUAAUCUGAAAUCCAAAGCACUUCUGGUUCCAAGCAUUUGGAUAAGGGAUACUCAACCUAUACUAAAAUUAUUCACUGUUUAUCUGAAAUUCAAAUUUAACAAGGUGUUCUGUAUUUUGUCUGGAGACCUUACUGAUACAGCUUAGAUGUCCUCUCCAAAUCUCAUGUUCAGAUAUAAUCCCCAGUAUUGGAAGUGGAGCCUGAUGGGAGGUAUUGGGGUCAUGGGAGCAGAUCCCUCAUGGCUUCGUGCUGUUCUCACCACAGUGAGUGUGUUCUCUCAAUCCGGUUGUUUCAAAGUUGUGGCGCCACCCCCCGCCCCCACCCCCACCCCCAUCACUCACUGUCUUGCUCUUACUUUUGCCAUGUGACAUGCCUGCUCCCACUUCACCUUCUACAAUGAGUAAAAGCUUCCUGA
RNAcentral lists this long non-coding RNA (6812 nucleotides) under Homo sapiens (human). RNAcentral describes it as "non-protein coding lnc-NGFR-3:15". The record is from RNAcentral. Lineage: Eukaryota; Metazoa; Chordata; Mammalia; Primates; Hominidae.